This 3317-nucleotide long non-coding RNA is filed under the name Volvox carteri. Its description in RNAcentral is "long non-coding RNA (VCAR_LNC003099)". Lineage: Eukaryota; Viridiplantae; Chlorophyta; Chlorophyceae; Chlamydomonadales; Volvocaceae. The record is from RNAcentral.
GGGGAGGAGUCCAGCUCGGAGGACCCGGGCAAAUAUAGCGAAGCUAGCAGCAGCAGCAGCAGUGGCAGUGGCAGCAGCGACAGUGGUGGAAGUGAGCAGUAACAUGGCAGCAGUGAUGAGCGCUUGGGGGUGCACACACCAUGUCGGCCCCAGGCAGGAUGGGACAGACCAAUCCCAAUAGGUGCCAGUACAUGUCAUGCAUCGGGGGUUUCAUCCGUAGGAGUAGGCAUGAACUCUGCAAGUGGUGGUGAGACUCCUUGGCGAGCACUUGCUGUAUGGGGGGUGACAUGAACACUGUUUUCGAGGACGAUGGUUGAGAUGAAUGCAUCAGGCUGUCAGGCUGGCUGGUCGGCGUUGUGAGUCCAAAGCGCCUUGGUCCACAAGCACACUGAGACUUAGGCUACUUUGACAAGGGGUGUGCGUCCAUUUUGAGGCUUGCCGCAAGUAUUCACCAAUCGUUAAUUUAACAUGCAGUAAGCGUCACAUCACAGAGUAAUAUCUGCCUGUGUAACCCUGAUAACAGGGUCUCCACCCGUAAUUGUACAUGUAAUUGGUUACAUGUGCCCGUAAUUCACCUCCAGCACCGCGUAAAAUCCACCCGUAAUCACUGGGUCUCCACCCGUAAUUGUACGUGUAAUUGGUUACAUGUGCCCGUAAUUCACCUCCAGCACCGCGUAAAAUCCACCCGUAAUCACUGGGUCUUCACCCGUAAUUUCGCGUGUAAUUGGUUACAUGCGCCUGUAAUUCACCUCCAACACCGCGUAAAAUCCACCCGUAAUCACUGGGUCUUCACCCGUAAUUUCGCGUGUAAUUGGUUACAUGCGCCCGUAAUUCACCUCCAACACCGCGUAAAAUCCACCCGUAAUCACUGGGUCUUCACCCGUAAUUUCGCGUGUAAUUGGUUACAUGCGCCCGUAAUUCACCUCCAGCACCGCGUAAAAUCCACCCGUAAUCACUGGGUCUUCACCCGUAAUUUUGCGUGUAAUUGGUUACAUGCGCCCGUAAUUCACCUCCAGCACCGCGUAAAAUCCACCCGUAAUCACUGGGUCUUCACCCGUAAUUUUGCGUGUAAUUGGUUACAUGCGCCCGUAAUUAACCUCCAGCACCGCGUAAAAUCCACCCGUAAUCACUGGGUCUUCACCCGUAAAUGUUCACCUGUAUCCUUGUGCUCAAAUUACGGGACCCGUAACGUGUUACGGACCCGUAAUUUCUGUCAAAUUACGGGUGGAUUGACCCAAAAUUACGGGUAAAAUGACCCCCCUUUUCCCAGAGUGCGAGUGAACUGGUCCAUCCUGCACCACAAGCGCCAUUGUGGGUCUAACUCCUAUGCUUACGUAUCAUGCCUGUGCACUGAAGGCCUGCAUGUAACUCUGGCAAGCAUGCUACACCCUGACAUGAGCAUGUACAGCUGCACCCAACGUCUCUGCAGUCUCACCUCCACCACGCUGGAUACCCUUGCCCGCAUCGACCUGUCAGGCCACCGCACCCUCAUACUCAACACAUCUGGUUGCACAACCCCCGAACCCCUGCUGACCGGCGCACAACAGACUAUCUGAAACCACCACCCCGCCAUCAUUGUGCCUUCAGUCUAUCCAUGCGCCUCAUCCAACCUUUGCUGUCAAGCGGCAACUUCACAGCCAGCACCGUCACUGCAUACAGUGCCUGCAUGGAGCCAUGCGAGUAGCCCAGGUUCAGCGCCCAGACUGCCUGUGACUCAAUUCACUCUCCGCAUGAAUGUUUUGCCCUGAGACUGGCGCAACAUGCCACACUUGCACGGCAGCAUGGCGCCGAGGCACGAGCACGGCUCCCCUCUCCUGAGCCCGAUGAGGAGCUGCACGCCAUGCUUGAGGAGUGCAUUAGCCCCGACCUGCAGGGCACGAAACGGUCCAAACUGUUGGAUGUGAUUAUGCGCAAUACGCUCCCGUUGGCAUAAAAUUAUUCCACUCUUACCAAAAUUAUUAGCAGCAUUUGAAAGCUCUACAUGUUCGCACGAAACAACCGGGAGCUGGGCAAGAACCCAUGGGUAAAGGUCAAGGUGGAUACAGGUGACGCUGUGCCCGUAUACAUGCUGCCGUACUGUAUGGGAAAGGCCGAGUGGGAAGCCGCUGACACUGAGAUCAGCAAAAUGUGGGCCGAUGGCAUUGUGGAGCCGUCAACCAGCCCUUGGUCAGCACCGAUGCUGGUCAUCAAGAAGCAGUCAUCAAGAAGCAGUCAUCAAGAAGCUUCUUGAUGACCAGCAUCAAGAAGCAGUCGGGCGGCCUGCGAUGUGUGGUGGACUUGUGCCGCCUCAACCAGGUGCUGAAGCUGCAGCCUUACCUGAUGGGCAACAUCCAGGACAUCUUGGACUCGGUCGCUCCACCUGUGGGGCAGAAGCGAUACUACUACUCAUUCGACAUGGUGUCCGGAUUCUUCAGCCUUGAGCUGGCCGACCAAGAGAGCAUGCAACGGUGCGCGUUCAGCAUGGGCAACACGCAGUGGUGCUACCGUGUCAUGCCCAUGCAUGGGCAUAUGGGCCUAUAUGGGCCCAUAUGGGCCUGUCGUCCAGCCCUAUCUUCUUCACUACUUUGCUGCGCAAGAUCCUGGCCCCUAUGCUACUUGACGGCGGCCCGACCCUACCUGGGGCCACAGCGGAUGAGGACGCACUGAUGACUCCACCCCUGAAGUGCGCCACUCCGGAUCAGCGCUGCGUGGAGCAUGAACGGUGUCAGCAGAAGUCGCGGCAAGUACCACCUCGAGCGCACAGCAUGUCGCGCUCCAUCAGAGUUGAUAAGGAUAUCGUGUACCUCAUAAAAUUGACUUGCUCCUCCGCAGCUUCUGACAGGGCCUCCGCAGCUUCUGCCCUCGCCUUCUCGGCAUCUGCGCGCCGACCCAGCUCCUGAAUAGCUUCCGCUUGGUUUGGACCCUUCAAAGCCGCGUCCAUGAGUUGAGUGUUGGUAGGGCUUCCAUCCAGGCAACACGACGACGUGCAAGUUCUCUAUGGUCUGCACAACCUGGACAAUGCUUAUUGCAAACUGUUAUGUAUAUAAGCACUCAGAAGAACUUAUGUGACGUCAAGUAAGCGCGUAACAAUUUCAUCGAGAAUGGCGGGCAGAAGCAGUGCACCAAACUUUUUGCGCAGCAUCUUUUAAUGCUCCCAAUCGUUCCGAGCGAGCCGGUCCCCGGAUGGGGUACAUUGUGUUAAACGGUGUACAAUGGUCUCAAUACCAUUGUAACACAGCAAAGGCAUAACCCGGGAUGCUCAGACGGGCCUUGCGUCGUUACACAACGUCACACCGCAAAAGCGGUUCCGCGCAACCAUUUCCGCUCACUUCCAUGCU